Non-coding RNA from Exocentrus adspersus, 71 nucleotides. NCBI's taxonomy places the organism in Eukaryota, Metazoa, Arthropoda, Insecta, Coleoptera, Cerambycidae. The record is from the annotation of a GenBank genome assembly.
AAGAGCGUAGUUUAAUGGGAAAAACGAUGCUUUCGUAACUCAUCAUGUGGGUUCAAUUCCCACCGCUCUUA